This 500-nucleotide ribosomal RNA is filed under the name uncultured bacterium. RNAcentral describes it as "partial 16S ribosomal RNA". It matches the Rfam family "Bacterial small subunit ribosomal RNA", at positions 30 to 523 of the family's 1533-position model. The record is from RNAcentral.
AUUGAACGCUGGCGGCAUGCCUUACACAUGCAAGUCGAACGGCAGCACGGGAGCAAUCCUGGUGGCGAGUGGCGAACGGGUGAGUAAAGUAUCGGAACGUGCCCAGUCGUGGGGGAUAACGUAGCGAAAGUUACGCUAAUACCGCAUACGAUCUAUGGAUGAAAGCGGGGGAUCGCAAGACCUCGCGCGAUUGGAGCGGCCGAUAUCAGAUUAGGUAGUUGGUGGGGUAAAGGCUCACCAAGCCGACGAUCUGUAGCUGGUCUGAGAGGACGACCAGCAACACUGGGGCUGAGACACGGCCCAGACUCCUACGGGAGGCAGCAGUGGGGAAUUUUGGACAAUGGGCGCAAGCCUGAUCCAGCCAUGCCGCGUGCAGGAUGAAGGCCUUCGGGUUGUAAACUGCUUUUGUACGGAACGAAAAGGUUUGACUUAAUACGUUGGACUCAUGACGGUACCGUAAGAAUAAGCACCGGCUAACUACGUGCCAGCAGCCGCCGUAA